ACUGCAAGUCAGGGAUGAGACACACUACAACAGGAGAGGGAGCAAGCGCGAGAGGAUAUUAGAAGAGAGGCUUGUCUCCAAGAUAUGGAAGGAAGUGAGAAAUGACAGGGCUGCAAGCUUUGUAUGUAGGAGCCCGGCAGGGCGGGGGAGCGGCGAGGAGAGCCAAGUGGAUUCUCAGAAAAGGGGGGAAGCCAUCGAAGAGCUAAAGGUGAUUAGAGGGGGAUAUUGAUUUCUUAUUCUGCCAGAGAUUUAAGCAGGCAUGCGAGGAAUCUGCACCAUGGUUGGCAAAAAGAGACCCGUUGCCUCCUGUAACCAGACACUCAGGCUUUCCAGGAGCCCAGGGAGCAAGCCGAGAAGAAAGGGGGCAGUGUGGUCUAGGAAAAUUCAACUUGUCGCUGAUUUGUGCCUGAUGCCUGCUGUCCGUCAGCAGCCUCCCUUACAAUCUUUUUUUCUCUCUCUCCUUUUUUUUUCCUUGCCUUCUCCUUCUUCACUGAAGCCUAGGGGAGCCAGUAAAGAUUAAAUGUGCUUCUCAAAGGCAGCCACUUCAUGCUGCUAUGUCGAAAGGGCCAUUAUUAUUAUUAUAUUUUAAUGGUAAAAGAGAAAAGGAGAGAGGUUGAGCGAGCGAGAGAGAAGCUAGGUGUGAUGAUGACAGACUAGCUUUUCUGAGAGGAAAAGGAAAAGGGAAGGGAGAGAAAAAGGAGAGCCUCUGAGCUCAACGGAGGAUUGUGCCUGAGAAGAACCCACAGAGGAGGCUGUGCGGGCCCCGCUCCGCUUCGAAUGGUUGUGUUGAUGUUCCUUUCAGCUGGUCCUAUAGUACCCCUCCUCAGGAAUGUCUCCCCAGUGCAAGGACAAAGACUGAAGAGACUGCUAUAUUGAUGGACUCUCAAGCCAACUAUGAAGUUGAAACAAAGAAAGUGAUCACCUGAAGACACCUCCUCUGCUAAGAAACACCCCCAAAUUGUGCAGCUUCUGCCACUAGAACUCUCAGAACAAGAGACAAUCUUUUCAAGAAACAGAAAAACUCAAUAAUGACAUCUAGAUUUUCAUGAGCCAAGAACUUUCCCUUCCUCAUGUGUAUUCCUCUGUUUGUACUUAAAUUCAUGUGACAUUCAUUUUUUUCCUAGUAUGGAUAUGCUUAUUAAUGCACUUGUUUCAAAAUCCCAAAUUGCACAAAUGUGUUAAUAUUUUAAGAAACAAAAUGAAUCCUACAAGGAGAAUGAUUUUUAGCCACACAUAGGGUUGGAUCUUGAGAGUGACCUACAGAAUAAAAGUACUUUUAAAAUAAAGUAGUCAGAGGCUAUUCAAAGGGUAAAAUAAUCAUAGUACCACAUUGGUCCACUUGACACUAACCAAUCGAUCAUUUUUUUUUAAUCAAGAAAGCUAGAUUCUAUCAGAUAAAAUCACUGCUUCUAAAGAGUUUAAAUCUAGUUAGAAAAAGUUAUAGAAAUGUUUGCAAAGAUAAGUAACAGAUAGAGUCAGUAGAGGAUAAGAUCAAAAACAAAACCAAGCAAAAGAUGAGUUCAGGGGAGUUUGCCAUCAAGUUGGCAAAACUGACUUACUUAGGGAAGAAAGUUAUAAAACAGGAAAAUAUGAGAUGAACCUUGAGUGAUGUGGAAGAUUUAGAUAAAUGGAAAGGAAGGAGAAAAUGGAGUUCUUUAGGUGGUUGUAAUUGGAGGAGGAAAUGAAUACACACAUCUUGUUGACUUAAACCCAGACAUUCAGCAGCUCUCUAUACAUAUCUGGAAAAGACUGCACAGUCACCUCCUGUCUCUCACCCCAGGUAUUACUUAGAAUUAUUAUCAUAUUUCCCUUCCUUUAAAGUAAGUAAGGGUGAUUGGUGACAAUAUGGAGAACUAUGAUUUUUCCAUUAACCUAAUAAUAAUUGGUAUUUAUUGAGUUCUGUUAAGCAUUUUACAUAUUAACUCACUUAAGCCUUUCAACAGCCUUGCAAAAUAGGUAUUAUUAUCCCCAUUUUACAGGCAAGAAAACUGAGGUUUAAGUAACUUGCCGAAGUGCCAUAUACAGGGCUCACAUUCAGUAUUGCAGUUGCAAAGCUCAUGAUCUAUAGUGCCAAGUUGCAAUAUUGUAGUCAAUGUCACAAUUAUUACCCCUUUUUAUAUUCCUUGAUAUUUUUCCAUGGCAAACAAUUAGCUAUUUCAUUUAAUAAUCACCUAAAACUUUUCAGUCUUCUGAUUAAAAUUACGCUGGAGUGAUAGAAUGUAUUUUCAUGAUAGAAAUUGGGAAAAAAAAUGGGGAAUGAAGUUUAUCAGCAUUUCAGACUUGUUUUUUUUUUUUUUUUUUGCAAGACUUUGAUGAGAUUGUUCACUUUUGUCUAUGUAAAAUCCCAAAUCCUUGAGAAUAAAAAAGGGGGAGGUUUAAGUCACUUGUUGCAAUGCCCUUUUUAAUAGAGGCAAUAAAUCUAAAGGCCAUAAAUUUAGAGUGACUUACAGAAGAUCGAACUUUGGAGUGUGGCAGAGUAAGGGAUGGAAACCGGGCCCUCCAGUUCACUAUCAGUAGCUUUUGCACUGGUCUGCCCUUCCUAAAUUAAGUAUGCACUUCAAUUUGAUGAGUGGAAACAGUCUAUCUGGGCAGUAACCAGGGAGCUUUGUGCCUAGUAGAUUGCUUCUGUUCUGCACUUCUUUGGUUUCCCACCUCAAUGUAAAAAAUAGCUAGCAAUGAAGUCCAGAAGUUGUCAAUGGUUCAUCCCCAGAAGAAUGCAUAAUGUCCAAAGUUGUAUGUGUAUGAUGUCUUCAAUGGUAUUAAGUUAUUUCAAAUUCUUAGUUCACCUACAUAAAUCAUUUCUAACAAGCAUCUUCUUAACCAACUUUAUGCACAGUGUAUGUUUGUAAGUGCUUCUGCACGAAUGUUUAUACAUGACUGUUUCCAUAGUACUUAUGUUUUUAAAAAUAUUCAGUCAUUUCCUACUAUAAUCCUCAUGUAUCCAUGUAACUGACUCAAAAAUACUUCAGCCACAGAAAGCUAAAACUGAGCAAAUCUCAUUCUUCUUUUCCAUCCCCUUUGCAUGUGGCUGGCAUUUAGUAAUGAUUAAUAAUAUGGCCAGCUGAAUAACAGAGGUUUGAGACACAAUUCUUUCUCAAAGGAGUCAGCUAAGCUGGGUCUACUUAUGGACAAACAUCUAAAUGUGUGGAAGUAUCUGAUAUUUGACAAUGGUAAAUUUCCACUUAGCUAGCUAGCAUUGUCAGACUUCAAUCUCCUCAUGGCUCUGGCCGUCCUGUUUUAAGCAUGAUAAUUGUUGGCCACAUCUCACAUAGUUCUCAUUGAGUGAGUUCAUAAAUAAACAGGGUUUUUUUUUUUUUUUAAAGAGCAGCCAAGCACAAAGUGUGACUUUGUUGACAUUUUAUGUGACUUUGUCAUAUGUUCCUAACCCCCAAUAAAAGC
RNAcentral lists this long non-coding RNA (3399 nucleotides) under Homo sapiens (human). Its description in RNAcentral is "mir-100-let-7a-2-mir-125b-1 cluster host gene". The record is from RNAcentral. Lineage: Eukaryota; Metazoa; Chordata; Mammalia; Primates; Hominidae.